RNAcentral lists this ribosomal RNA (424 nucleotides) under uncultured bacterium. RNAcentral's name for it is "partial 16S ribosomal RNA". It matches the Rfam family "Bacterial small subunit ribosomal RNA", at positions 355 to 788 of the family's 1533-position model. The record is from RNAcentral.
UGGGGAAUAUUGCACAAUGGGCGCAAGCCUGAUGCAGCAACGCCGCGUGAGGGAUGACGGCCUUCGGGUUGGUAAAACCUCUUUUAGUAGGGAAGAAGCGAAAGUGACGGUACCUGCAGAAAAAGUACCGGCUAACUACGUGCCAGCAGCCGCGGUAAUACGUAGGGUGCGAGCGUUGUCCGGAAUUAUUGGGCGUAAAGAGCUCGUAGGCGGUCUGUCGCGUCUGCUGUGAAAACCCGAGGCUCAACCUCGGGCCUGCAGUGGGUACGGGCAGACUAGAGUGCGGUAGGGGGAGAAUGGAAUUCCUGGUGUAGCGGUGGAAUGCGCAGAUAUCAGGAGGAACACCGAUGGCGAAGGCAGUUCUCUGGGCCGUAACUGACGCUGAGGAGCGAAAGCGUGGGGAGCGAACAGGAUUAGAUACCCU